ACCGGGUGGCUGGACCGAGGGCGGCGCGGGGAGUCCCGGAGGGUGGCGCCGGCCUCUGCUCGGGGCUCGCGGGGAACACCAGGGUCGCCCGGCGCCCACCGUGUCCGCCUCGCUCCGCGCGCGCGCCUGAGGCCGUCCCGAACCGCACCGGAGACAAAGGCGGCGGGGUCGCGCGCGGCGGCGCCGGGCGGAGGCGGGGAUCCCGGCCUGGCCCGGUUCCGGUCGGGCGGGCUGGCUGACUGCGGCCUAACCGCGGCCGGGUCCUCGCUGCUUCCCGCGCUUUAGACUUGAUUUCUCGCCUCUGUUGGAGCCCGGCCUUCCGGAGGCAUUCGUCCCAGGAGGAAGAAAGGCGUCCCGCGCUCCCCGAGGGCUGCCCGGGGUGAGGGGGUGCCCGGCCGGGGCGUUGGCACCCACCCGGGGUGGGGUGCGCAUCACGCGAGGGGGAGACCCGCCGCUCUGACUGUCUCUGCUUUCCGCGUCUCAGCGCCGCGCGCUGGCUGCACAGUGUAAACUCACUGUGACAUUGGGAACUGUCGUGCCAAGGUGCCAUGCUGCCCCGAUGGGAACUGUCUCUUUACCUGCUUGCAUCACUGGGCUUCCACUUCUAUUCUUUUUAUGAAGUCUACAGAGUCUCCAGAGAACAUGAAGAGGAAUUGGAUCAAGAAUUUGAGCUGGAGACGGACGCUUUAUUUGGAGGAUUAAAGAAGGACCCAACAGACUUUGAGUGGAGCUUCUGGAUGGAGUGGGGGAAACAGAGGCUGGCGUGGCUGCUGCUGGGCCACACAGUGGUAUCACAGGCGGCGGCCAUGCUGCUUGCGAAAAAGCACAGACCCUGGAUUCUCAUGGCCUACGGGAUGUGGGCCUGCUGGAGUGUGCUGGGGGCCCCUGGAGUGGUCAUGGUUCUCCUCCACACCAUCAUCGCGUUCUGUGUGGCCCAGUUCCGGUCUCUGUUCCUGUCCUGGCUCUGUUCUCUGCUCCUGCUGUCCACACUGAGGCUCCAGGGUGUGGAGGACAUAAAGAGGAGGUGGUAUCAGACUGACAGUGAGUACUACCUGUUGCAGUUCACACUGACUGUCCGCUGUCUGUACUAUACCAGCUUCAGCCUGGAGUUUUGUGGGCAGCAGCUGCCUGCCACAUGUGCCUCCCACUCCUUUCCUUGGAUGCUGGCCUACGUCUUCUAUUAUCCUGUCUUCCACAAUGGGCCUAUCCUCAACUUCCCAGAGUUCUUCAAACAGAUGCAGCAGCCAGAGCUCUGUUCACUGAAGGACAGCCUCUGCAUCCUGACCUGUGGUCUGGGCCGCCUGAUGUGUUGGUGGGUACUGGCUGAGCUGAUGGCCCACCUCUUGUAUAUGCACGCCAUCUACGGCAGCAUCCUCCUCCUGCAGGACGUCAACUGCUGGACAUUAGGAGGACUGGCAUUGGCCCAGGUGCUCUUCUUCUAUGUGAAAUACUUGGUGCUCUUUGGCAUCCCAGCACUGCUCAUGCGUCUGGAUGGACUCCACCCGCCGCCCCUCCCUCGCUGCGUGAGCACCAUGUUUAGUUUCACGGGCAUGUGGAGAUAUUUUGAUGUUGGACUACAUAAUUUCUUAAUCAGGUACGUGUACAUUCCACUGGGUGGGUCUCAGCGUGGCCUACUGGGGACUCUGCUUUCCACUGCGAUGACGUUUGCAUUUGUGAGCUACUGGCAUGGCGGCUACAACUACCUCUGGUGCUGGGCAGCACUCAACUGGCUGGGAGUCACAGUGGAGAACGGGUUCCGGAGGCUCCUGGACACGCCCUGUGUACGGGAUGGCUUGGCCAGACACCUCUCCCCACAAGCUCGCCGCCGGCUCCACGCUGCCCUGGCGUCUUGUUCUACCUCGAUGCUGAUCCUGUUCAACCUGGUGUUUCUUGGGGGCAAUCAGGUUGGAAAAACCUAUUGGGACAGGAUUUUUGUGCAAGGCUUAUGUCCUCAGCGUUCACCCAGCUGUGACAUGUGUCAGGACCCACUUCGACGGCUGAGUCUUACUGCAUUGGACGUGGACCCUGACCUGUUUAUCCACCCUCUGCCAGUGGACCCGGGCUGUCUCCACCUUUCGGCUCCUGUGGGUGAGGCUGUGAGUGCAGCACACAGACACUUCUUCCAGUCCUGCGCUGAGUUCUCUUUGGUGUGUGUAUUGUGCUUCUCUGGUUCAGCUUGGAGGAACCUCCACACUGUUUCCACAGUAUGCCGUUUCACACCUUUCAAAGAGCCUUUCAUAGACCCCUGCUCCUAUGCAUAUCUUCAGUUUCCACAAAUUCAGUUUGCUUUCCCCUUCCCACAGCCUGUAUUGAUGAUCUUUCCUUCACAAUAGAGCCUCUGCCUUUUGGUCCUUUGAGGCUAAUUUAAUUUUCAGAGAAUUGCUCAGCCAUGAUAAUCUCAAGUAAAAUUAUACUAGUCCUUGCUAUGUCAUAAUCCUGUCUUAUUAGCUCCAGGUGUUACACACUGGCCAGUACCCUAUUAACAAUGCGAUGCACCCAUGACAUCCUAUUAACUCCACCUGCUAUGUCACCUGUGUUGGUCCUCUUCAUUGACUGAUCGUGCUGUAUGUCCUCCACGUGUGCUCUGAGCAUAGCUGUGGAAUGGCCUUCCUCUUAACUCUGUAUGUGGCCCAGUAUUCUGCAGCUCAGGUCUGGCUUGCUGCCAUCUUCUUUAUUGUGUCUUCAGUGAUGCCUGUGUGAUCUGUGAAAAUUCUUUACCCAUUUAGGUCUUGUUAGGGCAAGGUAUCCAGAGCCCUGUGGGAAAUCGCACAUAUCAUUGUCUCUGAGGGACCCAGACUUCAGUGAGCGGCUUCGACCUCACAUACCUUCUUUUUUUUUCAAAUCCACUUUAUUCAUAGAUGAAAAAAAAGGAGAAGGAAAAAACUGCAACAAAAUUUUAAAGUACAUCAAUCAGGAGACAACAAUGGCUGGCCUUGGGUGACCCUCUCUGUCUUGGGAUUCCUGUACUGCUACUCCCACGUGGGUAUCGCCUGGGCCCAGACAUACACCAUGGACUAAUUCUGCCUUCACUGCCAACCUCCAAGCCAAAUAUACUUUACCCUGAUGUUCUACUCCAAGGUGAUCUCCCAGGAGUUAUCUUCUGGUCAUCGUCUGUUCAGAAUACCUCAUUCCAAGACUGGCACUUGAACUCUCAUAGAUAAUCUGCAACCAGAUAAUAUUAUAACUUUGGAGUCCUAGACAUUUUCUACCCUAAUCUCAGUUUCCUGAGUAACCUGGGGUGAAGGUUAAUAGACUACCCAGAUAUACAUGGUGAUGUGUUGGUAUAGAACCAAGGGUCCUGGCCUUUUCUACUUGUUCUUUACUGCUAGAUAAGUAUACUGCAUGUUUUUUGGUUGAGCACUGGAAUCCUGCUUAGUGAUAAGCCUGUCCUCCUCUGUGUAAUAUUUCUGAGACAUUUUGGUGAUAUGGUAGUGACCCUUUGCUGUGGCCUGUGGUGUGGGCUCUACUGUGCUAGAGCAUCACACAUCAGCUCCUCAGAAGGGAGGUAACAAAGCCAAACUGUAGAAUCAGUUCUUUGGCAUUCCAAGCACUCAAUAUCUGAGGAGUCUGUGACUUUUGAAGUUUAUUUGGCUCCUUGUUCCUGAGAUUUGCAGAGAUGUAUGAACAUGGUCGUUCCUCUGACAGUUAACUGUUUCCCAGUUAAGAAGCAGACUUCAAAAAUCAGAGCAUGAGUGUAUCCACAGAUAGGUGCUAUCAGACAAGUCACAGAAGGUAAGGAGGACUGCCUAUUGGCUUGUCUGCUCUCUCCUCUGAGUUCUAACAGUCAGUGCUACUCCGUGAUUUAUGCUUAAUGGUAUAUACUGCCUCAUUUUGAUGCCAGUAAGAGUAGCCUUUUUGUUACAUAGAAAAUUCCUAUUUUUCCAGAAUUAUUUUGAAUAGUUUGAGGCAAAUAUAUCUAAAUAUACUUAUUUAACUUGACUCAUUCCUCCAGAAAGAUACCAGAUAAGCUACCAACGAUGCCAAAUGGUAGAUGAUUUAGAAUAUUUUUGUUUGGCUUUAACGUUUUUUAGAAGGGAGCUAGAACCUUAAAAAUUUGAAUCCAUUGUGUAAUUGAGAAGCUUUUCUGUAACAUUCCAAAUACAUGCAUUUCCAUCAAGUGACUGGUUCAUGUGGACCUCGUUUUGUCUUAUAUUUGUUCAUUAUUAUCCUUGGGUCUUGGCUGUAAGACGUCCUUCUAGAGUUCAGGACUACUCAUUUUUGUUGACUCCCUUUAUUCCUAGAUGCUUUGCUUGGGACAGAGUUGGAAGGGCACAGUGACCUGGGUUUGGUACAUGGUAUUAGAACAGGCCAGAGAAGGGCAGGUAGACCUGGGAAGUAGUGGCCUCAGCAGCUUCCAUGGAAAAGCAGGAGACUUGAGCAGAAGAUUGUGGGGUACUGGAAAGUUUAAAGGAGGGAUGAGCCUGGGGAAAAUAGAAAGCCCUCAAAUGAUAGAGUAGAACUUUAUGGGGUAGCACUGAGGUAGGACUUGGGGAACAGCCAGAAGGAGUUUAGCUGAAGUUUACUUGGAAAGAAAGGGCUUGCUAAGAUAAAAAGGAGUGUAGAAAUAAUUAUGUGUGUCUAAUGUAUUGUAUAUAUAUGUAAAUAAUACAAAAGAUUCUGAGCUCUUCCAAUGAGAACAUUGAUAUAAAACAAAUUUAUUCAUUCAUUGAACUAUGUUGGAAAAGACAGUGGAUGUAUCUGAAAUAAUCCUCAAUUUCUUUUAAACUAGAUCAUUUAGAGUUCUUAGAAACUUGUGAUUACUGUAUUUACCUCUAUACUUGAGGCUAAAAUAAUGAAUAUAUGUAUUAUGCAGGAGCAUUUUUUUCUUUAAUCCCUAUUGUUAUGAGCUGACAAUACUUGUCUCCAUGUGCAUGUAAACUAACAUCCUAGAGUCUGUUCCACAAAGGAUUGCUGCGGACCCUGGGAAUGCAGAAUGGUUCUGGCUGGGAGCACCUGCCCUGUCCUCAGCGCUAUGCAACUUCAGGCUGAUGCUGGGAAGAGACAAAACAAGCUUUGUGAUCCCCAUCAGCACCAGGACCUUCUGGCUCUGCCCUGGCUAUAUGGGCCAGCCCAGCGGUUCCAAGGAAAAGAAUGGCAUCUGAGAGGGCAGCAAGCCCUUGGUCGUUGUGGUAAAGUCUUGGAACCAUGCAAGAAGAGUUAAAAGCAUUGUUUACAGAUUAGUGUGCAUGCAGUGACAGCAGAAAACCUUUGGUUCUGUGAAAGAUGACAGGCCUAGAGAGAAAAUAUAUCAGAGAUACAUGUCAUGAUCCAUGAUUAGGAGAACAGCAAUCUAGUAGACAGGGCUUCCUCUUAGAGAAACUGAGACUUUAUACUUUGCAUAUAUCUAUAAUAAUGAUAUAACUUUCGACUAAAUAUCAAGGAUUAACCAUAACCUAGUGAUUUUUGUUUUUAGCAGACAUGCCAGGAUGUAUCUACGCAGUGAGGUUUGUUUCAUAGUCAGUGUGAGAAGCCAACUGAUCUCCCCAGUAUCGUGUGUUCCUACCUCAACUCUGAAUUGAGUUAUCAUGUAAAAGGAGCAAUGCCAUGUUUGAAAUGUGGUCCACUGGGUAUUAAACGAGAACUCAGGUUGGCAGUAUUGUGGAGUCUUGCCAUAAGCAAGAAGUAGUCUCAGUUAAAAUCAUAGGACAACUGAAAACAUGUCAGUGGACAAGACUGUUUAGUUCAGGGCAGGCCAUCCUCUACCUUAAUAGCUCUUGAGACCAUCAGUGAAGUCAAGCAAGGGUCAGAACUCAUGUUACUGACACUGAGUCAUGAAGAAAGGAUGCAGUUAUCUUCUUCCUACUCUGUGUUAAAAGGCAGGGAGGUAAAAUGUUGAUAUGCGUUAAGUCAGUGUGCCCUACAAAUUUGCAAUGAUGGCACACUACUAUGGCUUGGACAUAGUUUGUCCCCUAUCAAACUCCUGUUGAAAUUUGAUAGCCAUUGUGGUGGUGCUGGGAGGCACAACCUCUCAAAGUAAUGACAUAAUCAAGAGGGAUUCAUAACCCUCUUAUGGUCAUGCUCACUGUGGUGAGUCCUCAUGGAGCUGGGUAGUCAGCCUGCAUCCCCUUCAAAUUCUAUUUCAGCAGGUGCCCACUUGCCCCUCUGAUCUCUGCAUAGUACAAAGCUGCACCAGGCCCUCAUCACCAGCAGCAGCCACCCUAUGAGGGACUUCACACAAAUCACCAGUCGUGGUUAUUCUAUGAAAGCACCAGAAAUUGGACUGAGACUCGGAUUUUAAAAGCAGUCUGUGCACACUAGGCAGUACUUUACAUUGAUCUUGGUGUCUCUAUAAGUUCUCCAAGAACUACAAUUCUAGGUGCUAUUCCAAGUUAUAGCUUCCCAAAUCUAGAAAAAGAAGAGAAGAUACCACCACCUUCACUCUGUCAUUUAGGGCAGAACACCCAAUGCAAUGUCUUACAGCUAUGUAAGGAAUGACAAAGGCGAGUAUCAUGUAUAAAAUAGUUUAUUACCAUAAUAAAUAAACUCUUUUUUACAAAUA
Cavia porcellus (domestic guinea pig) is the source of this 6499-nucleotide RNA transcript. It is a transcript of the gene named hedgehog acyltransferase, with no coding region annotated. The transcript has 13 exons. The record is from RefSeq and is a predicted model, not a curated record. Lineage: Eukaryota; Metazoa; Chordata; Mammalia; Rodentia; Caviidae.